CCUACGGGAGGCAGCAGUGAGGAAUAUUGGUCAAUGGACGAGAGUCUGAACCAGCCAAGUAGCGUGAAGGAUGACUGCCCUAUGGGUUGUAAACUUCUUUUAUAUGGGAAUAAAACGUUCCACGUGUGGGAUUUUGUAUGUACCAUAUGAAUAAGGAUCGGCUAACUCCGUGCCAGCAGCCGCGGUAAUACGGAGGAUCCGAGCGUUAUCCGGAUUUAUUGGGUUUAAAGGGAGCGUAGGUGGAUUGUUAAGUCAGUUGUGAAAGUUUGCGGCUCAACCGUAAAAUUGCAGUUGAAACUGGCAGUCUUGAGUACAGUAGAGGUGGGCGGAAUUCGUGGUGUAGCGGUGAAAUGCUUAGAUAUCACGAAGAACUCCGAUUGCGAAGGCAGUUCACUGGACUGCAACUGACACUGAGGCUCGAAAGUGUGGGUAUCAAACAGGAUUAAAUACCCCGGUAGUC
Molecule: ribosomal RNA, 460 nt
Filed under: uncultured bacterium
Lineage: Bacteria
Description: partial 16S ribosomal RNA
Rfam family: Bacterial small subunit ribosomal RNA
Source: RNAcentral